AAAUUUGAAAUCUGGUAGCCUUCGGUUGCCCGAGUUGUAAUCUAGAGAAGUGUUUUCCGUGCCGGCCCAUGUACAAGUCCCUUGGAACAGGGCGUCAUAGAGGGUGAGAAUCCCGUCCUUGACAUGGACCCCCGGUGCUUUGUGAUACACUUUCAACGAGUCGAGUUGUUUGGGAAUGCAGCUCAAAAUGGGUGGUGAAUUCCAUCUAAAGCUAAAUAUUGGCGAGAGACCGAUAGCGAACAAGUACCGUGAGGGAAAGAUGAAAAGCACUUUGGAAAGAGAGUUAAACAGUACGUGAAAUUGUUGAAAGGGAAACGAUUGAAGUCAGUCAUGCUCUUAGGAUUCAGCCGUUCUGCGGUGUAUUUCCUUUGAGUGGGGUCAACAUCAGUUUUGAUCGAUGGAUAAAGGCACGAGGAAGGUAGCACUCUCGGGUGAACUUAUAGCCUCGCGUCAUAUACAUUGAUUGGGACUGAGGAACGCAGCAUGCCUUUAUGGCCGGGAUUCGUCCACGUACAUGCUUAGGAUGUUGACAUAAUGGCUUUAAACGACCCGUCUU
This 556-nucleotide ribosomal RNA is filed under the name Naganishia adeliensis. RNAcentral describes it as "eukaryotic LSU rRNA". It matches the Rfam family "Eukaryotic large subunit ribosomal RNA", at positions 111 to 655 of the family's 3401-position model. The record is from RNAcentral. Lineage: Eukaryota; Fungi; Basidiomycota; Tremellomycetes; Filobasidiales; Filobasidiaceae.